RNAcentral lists this non-coding RNA (174 nucleotides) under chicken gut metagenome. RNAcentral describes it as "6S / SsrS RNA". It matches the Rfam family "6S / SsrS RNA". Rfam says of the family: E. coli 6S RNA was the first non coding RNA to be sequenced, but its function was unknown until recently. It consists of 184 nucleotides that fold into an extended hairpin structure with a large single-stranded internal bulge. The record is from RNAcentral.
AUUCCUGGAAUGUUCGACAACUCUUACCUUAUUUGAACCUACAGUAUGACAUAAGGGAUUCCAAUAUUUUUAGGCGGAUGUCAGGCCUCCUUUGAGUGGAAGACAGAAGUCUAAGUGCGGUUGCCCACCUAGCAAGGCUAGGCGUCAAUUAGUAAGAACCGGCAUUUUGGGAUU